This 253-nucleotide unclassified non-coding RNA is filed under the name uncultured Hymenobacteraceae bacterium. Its description in RNAcentral is "contains 16S-23S intergenic spacer region". It matches the Rfam family "Bacterial small subunit ribosomal RNA", at positions 524 to 776 of the family's 1533-position model. Lineage: Bacteria; Pseudomonadati; Bacteroidota; Cytophagia; Cytophagales; Hymenobacteraceae. The record is from RNAcentral.
UACGGAGGGUGCGAGCGUUGUCCGGAUUUAUUGGGUUUAAAGGGUGCGUAGGCGGCCCCGCAAGUCCGUGGUGAAAGCCCCUCGCUCAACGAGGGAACUGCCAUGGAUACUACGGGGCUUGAGUCCAGGCGAGGUUGGCGGAAUGGACGGUGUAGCGGUGAAAUGCAUAGAUACCGUCCAGAACCCCGAUUGCGUAGGCAGCUGACUAGGCUGGCACUGACGCUGAGGCACGAAAGCGUGGGGAGCGAACAGG